GGGUUGUGAGGUUAAGCGACUAAGCGUACACGGUGGAUGCCCUGGCAGUCAGAGGCGAUGAAGGGCGUGCUAAUCUGCGAUAAGCGCCGGUAAGGUGAUAUGAACCGUUAUAACCGGCGAUACCCGAAUGGGGAAACCCAGUGUGACUCGUCACACUAUCAUUAACUGAAUCCAUAGGUUAAUGAGGCGAACCGGGGGAACUGAAACAUCUAAGUACCCCGAGGAAAAGAAAUCAACCGAGAUUCCCCCAGUAGCGGCGAGCGAACGGGGAGGAGCCCAGAGCCUGAAUCAGCAUGUGUGUUAGUGGAAGCGUCUGGAAAGGCGCGCGAUACAGGGUGACAGCCCCGUACACAAAAGCGCAUGUGCUGUGAGCUCGAUGAGUAGGGCGGGACACGUGGUAUCCUGUCUGAAUAUGGGGGGACCAUCCUCCAAGGCUAAAUACUCCUGACUGACCGAUAGUGAACCAGUACCGUGAGGGAAAGGCGAAAAGAACCCCGGCGAGGGGAGUGAAAAAGAACCUGAAACCGUGUACGUACAAGCAGUGGGAGCACCCUUUUGGGGUGUGACUGCGUACCUUUUGUAUAAUGGGUCAGCGACUUAUAUUCUGUAGCAAGGUUAACCGAAUAGGGGAGC
RNAcentral lists this ribosomal RNA (633 nucleotides) under Salmonella enterica subsp. enterica serovar Bovismorbificans. Its description in RNAcentral is "partial 23S ribosomal RNA". It matches the Rfam family "Bacterial large subunit ribosomal RNA", at positions 1 to 666 of the family's 2925-position model. The record is from RNAcentral. Lineage: Bacteria; Pseudomonadati; Pseudomonadota; Gammaproteobacteria; Enterobacterales; Enterobacteriaceae.